RNAcentral lists this ribosomal RNA (405 nucleotides) under uncultured Eubacteriales bacterium. RNAcentral's name for it is "uncultured Clostridiales bacterium partial 16S ribosomal RNA". It matches the Rfam family "Bacterial small subunit ribosomal RNA", at positions 355 to 774 of the family's 1533-position model. Lineage: Bacteria; Bacillati; Bacillota; Clostridia; Eubacteriales. The record is from RNAcentral.
UGGGGGAUAUUGCACAAUGGGGGAAACCCUGAUGCAGCAACGCCGCGUGAAGGAAGAAGGUCUUCGGAUUGUAAACUUUUGUCUUUGGGGAAGAAAAAAAUGACGGUACCCAAGGAGGAAGCCACGGCUAACUACGUGCCAGCAGCCGCGGUAAUACGUAGGUGGCAAGCGUUGUCCGGAUUUACUGGGUGUAAAGGGCGUGUAGACGGGAUGGAAAGUCAGAUGUGAAAUUUAUGGGCUCAACCCAUAACCUGCAUUUGAAACUUCUGUUCUUGAGUGAUGGAGAGGUAGGCGGAAUUCCUAGUGUAGCGGUGAAAUGCGUAGAUAUUAGGAGGAACACCGGUGGCGAAGGCGGCCUACUGGACAUUAACUGACGUUGAGGCGCGAAAGUGUGGGGAGCAAACA